AAUCCCACUGCCUCUAUGUUUAGCCAUCAAAACCACCCGUACAUCAAGACGCGACUUAAUGGGGUCAACGAGACCGGGAUAUGAGAUUAAACUGGCUGUGCAGCCUUGGCAUAUAAAAGCAAACUCCUGUGUCUGAAAUGUCACCAAGGAUUAGGGGAGCCUUUGAAGUUCCCCUCCCUGCAGGCUGCACCCGCCCAGCUUCCCUGGCAAAGGGCCUCCACGCCUGGGAGCCCUGGCCAGGCCCUGGGGGCCCUCCUUCGCGGUGGAAGAGAACCCCGUCCAGAUGACUGACAGAUGAAAGGCUUGGCCUCAGCUGGUGGAGGAGACAGCUACCGUGACCGUCCACAGCACCAGAGUUCAUGGCCACCUCCUUUUCCUGCACCUUUUAAGGUCCCAAGGGGUGUGGCUUUUUGGAAGAUGGCAUCACCGACUCAAUGGACAUGAGUGUGAGCAAACUCCGGGAGACAGUGAAGAACAGGGAAGCCCAGCAUGCUGCAGUGCAUGGGGAUGCAGAGUCGGACUCAGCGAC
This is a long non-coding RNA of Dama dama (fallow deer), 529 nucleotides long. RefSeq lists it as uncharacterized. The transcript is spliced from 3 exons. Lineage: Eukaryota; Metazoa; Chordata; Mammalia; Artiodactyla; Cervidae. The record is from RefSeq and is a predicted model, not a curated record.